CAGUAGCCGCGGUAAAACGAAGGGUGCAAGCGUUACUCGGAAUUACUGGGCGUAAAGCGUGCGUAGGUGGUGGUUUAAGUCCGUUGUGAAAGCCCUGGGCUCAACCUGGGAAUUGCAGUGGAUACUGGGUCACUAGAGUGUGGUAGAGGAUAGUGGAAUUUCCGGUGUAGCAGUGAAAUGCGUAGAGAUUGGAAGGAACAUCUGUGGCGAAGGCGACUAUCUGGGCCAACACUGACACUGAGGCACGAAAGCGUGGGGAGCAAACAGGAUUAGAUACCCCAGUAGUCCCUGUCUCUUAUAC
This 301-nucleotide ribosomal RNA is filed under the name uncultured bacterium. RNAcentral describes it as "partial 16S ribosomal RNA". It matches the Rfam family "Bacterial small subunit ribosomal RNA", at positions 509 to 807 of the family's 1533-position model. The record is from RNAcentral.